UACGAAGGGUGCAAGCGUUACUCGGAAUUACUGGGCGUAAAGCGUGCGUAGGUGGUUUGUUAAUCUGUUGUGAAAGCCCCGGGCUCAACCUGGGAAUGGCAAUGGAUACUGGCAAGCUAGAGUGCGGUAGAGGGUAGUGGAAUUCCCGGUGUAGCGGUGAAAUGCGUAGAGAUCGGGAGGAACACCAGUGGCGAAGGCGGCUACCUGGAACAGCACUGACACUGAGGCACGAAAGCGUGGGGAGCAAACAGG
This 252-nucleotide ribosomal RNA is filed under the name uncultured bacterium. RNAcentral's name for it is "partial 16S ribosomal RNA". It matches the Rfam family "Bacterial small subunit ribosomal RNA", at positions 524 to 776 of the family's 1533-position model. The record is from RNAcentral.